UAUCUGCAGCUGUGAUAUGCUCGGGCUGUGCUGUGCCAGGGAACUCAGAGAUAGAGCCUGCCAUUACACUAAUCAGGGUUGUAAAAUAUGUCAGACUCGAGCCUACAGAAACCAGGUGUCUUAAAGAUAAGUUGUGCAGAACAAAGACAGUUAAUUAACUCUGACCUGCUGGUCACCCCUUAUGAACUGACCAAUAGCAGAUAGAUAAGAUGCCCACCACUCCACACUAACUAUAAUGAUUGGCUUCUGUAAUAAAUGCUUACAUUGCAGUUUUUCCCCCUUAAAAACACCAGCCCUGCCCCAACUCAGAGUUCUCCAUUUCCACCUGUUUGGAGGACCCCGUGUGCACAGAAUAAUAAAGACCCCUUUGUUCUUACAUGAGAGUGAGGCCCUUGGCAUCUCCCUUGUGACACCGGUCUUAUAUUUGGAGGCCCUAGCGAGAUCAAACUAAGAUCAGACCUCCUCGCAAAGGGAGACCCCAACCUCACCUUUCCGGGCCUCUCAUCAAGGCCCCACCAGACUGAUGGAUGUCUAAUUCCUGAGCCAUACAUUAUCAGGCACUAUUUCUGGAAACAGCAGCUUCAAACUCGGCUACUUCGCUGCCUGAGGACGACCCCUCGUCGCCUCACCACAAUUGUACUGAGGUCACUGAUCACCUCAUGGAACAUCAACCUUAUCUAGUGGAUAAGCUACUGUCUAGAGUUCCAUCCUACUUCUCUGAUGAAAGCAGUUAUGUCUCUCAAGAGCCCAUUUGCACUUAAAAAGACCAGCAUCUGGCAGCUCAACUUCUGUGAGAUUCCCGGGGGCUAAUAUCAAGUUAGCCCAGUCUGUGAGCUUCAGAUGCCCUCAGUGCCAAUUGUCUCCUCUAGACUUUUCAGCUAGCUGUGACUUCCAUCCACUGGUUACUUCGCUGCUGCCCACUGUGAGCUAAAGAGCCUAGGCACCUGGACAAGGGACCUCACUGGAAAUCUCUUGAGAGCGACCUCACCCUGAAUCUCUUAAGCCACAAUGGACUGUCAAAGUAGCUGAAAGCCUGCCUGGAUUCAAUGUUCCCACUGCAGACAGGUCCCAACUUCAAAAGACCAUCAGCCUGCGGAUAAGUGAACUGUCAUUUCUUCCAAGGACACUUUAAAGCUUAAGAUUGUCUAAUAUAACUGAUAAUUUUGUGUUCUCCUCCUUUGUAGAGACCCCAAGGAGGCCUUUGUCUGACUUAGAAAUUGUUACUUGCAUGAUAAAACAGAGCAAAUUUAAAUGUUGGUUUUCUUUCUUCUUUUGGUUAACAGCUUUAAUGAAAGCUGCAAGACCUUUGUCAAUCCUCCUAUUGGGCCUUAUGUUGUAAACAAGUUGAUAAACUAUGUCAAAGUUCUUAAAAGCUUGUGAUUUUAAAGACACAUGCAAGGUUAUAAACAGAUGCUAAUGAGUCAAUCAAUGGGAAAUGUUGUACUCUAAGAAAAUAGCUUUGUUAUAUGUGUAUUAUAACGAACCUGUGAAGUGACUUACUAAAUGUUUUUUAUCCUUUUUCCCUAACUGAUAUGUUAAGUGACCUAAUUGAUAUGUUGAGUAACACUCUCCUCUGUAAAGAAUUGCAAGAAUCUCACCUAAUUGAUAUGUUAACCAUUGUUGCCCUCUACAAACUACAGAAGCUGUGCUAAAACAAGCUAACAAGGGUUGUUAAUCACUGCUAGGCGCCUCUAUUCUCCGUUAAAGAAAACUAGAAUGGCAAUUAAUUUACAUUUGUUUAAAAUAACCUGCUUGUGUGCAGAGAGAUUUGCAUGUGAGUUUGGCCCUUUACUCUGACCUUGACACAUAACCGCCAUUUUCUGUUCUGUAUGGCAUCUUAUUGCCUCCCUCUCCCCUCACCUAUCUAUCUAGGCCAUAAAGAAUUUGGGUUUCUGGUGACCUCCCCCUAACCUGGUGAUGAUCUGUCAUAAAAUAAGCCUGCCCCAAAGUUUGAAAACUGUUUAGCUUCAAAAAAAAUUACCGGGUAAUACUGUGGCCCAAACCCCAAAUGGUGCUUUCCUUUUGUUCUGUAUGUAUCAAAUGAGUUAGAUGUCAGAUCUUUGUAAAGUUUGAGUUCCAGCGUCUCAUAGCUCGUGACCCCUUCACACUCACUAAUGAGGGCGAGCUGUCCUGGGAUGAUUGACUUCCCCACUUUCUUCUCCAAAUUUUGCUGCAGAAGUGCCACUCUGGGAUGGUGUUGGUCUGCAGGAUGGGAGUAAUUUGAGAAAACACCGGGGACUCCCGAGAUUGUCAGAGCUAGGCGAACAACAAUACAGUUUCCAGACUCGGUCAACAAGUUUGAUGGCUCUACAGGUUUCUUUAUAAAUCACAUAAUUCAGUUUAUUAACCCCCAAGUCUCUCAGAUGAAAAUAAUGGUCCUUAGACAAUAACAUACUCCCUUAGCUUUAAUUGACCUCAAAGAUUAGAGGUUUUAUGCAGAAGAGGGGGAAUGUAGAACCAGAAAUUUAAAGGUUAAAAAUAAGAUGCUGUUUCUCAGCUAGAAACAGCACUGGGUCUCGUGACUCAGUCCUAACUCAGCCCUGCAGAAAUAAAAACAACCUCUGUGGCUGUGAUAUGCUGGGGAUGUGCUGUGCCAGGUAACUCAGAGAUAGAGCCUGCCAUUAUGCUAAUCAGGGUUGUAAAAUAUGUCAGACCCAAGUCUACAGAAACCAGGUGUCUUAAAGACAAGUUGUGCAGAACAAAGACAGUUAAUUAACUCUGACCUGCUGGUCACCCCUUAUGAACUGACCAAUAGCAGAUAGAUAAGAUGCCCACUGCUCCGCACUAACUGUAAUGAUUGGCUUCUGUAAUAAAUGCUUACAUUGCAGUUUUCCCCCUUAAAAACACCAGCCCUGCCCCAACUCAGGGUUCGCUGUUUCCACCUGUUUGGAGGACCCCGUGUACAUGGAAUAAUAAA
This is a long non-coding RNA of Cavia porcellus (domestic guinea pig), 2917 nucleotides long. RefSeq lists it as uncharacterized. Lineage: Eukaryota; Metazoa; Chordata; Mammalia; Rodentia; Caviidae. The record is from RefSeq and is a predicted model, not a curated record. The transcript is spliced from 4 exons.